UUAUUUGUUUGGGAAGAUUAUUAUCUAGUUGUAACAUACUCACACCUGAUUACUCAAAAAAACUCAUUAUCGCAAGCUCGACUACAUCAAUGUCACCCGAAAGCUGCAAGAGCCUCCUACACGCUAACA
Non-coding RNA from Populus trichocarpa (black cottonwood), 129 nucleotides. The record is from Rfam. NCBI's taxonomy places the organism in Eukaryota, Viridiplantae, Streptophyta, Magnoliopsida, Malpighiales, Salicaceae.